CAACCCUCAAGCUCUGCUUGGUCUUGGGCCACGCCGGUAACGGCGGGCCUCAAAAUUAGUGGCGGCGCCGUCCGCGUCCUCAGCGUAGUAAUUCUUCUCGCUGUUGGGCCCGGGCGGCCGCUGGCCAGCAACCCCAAAUUUUCUAU
Molecule: unclassified non-coding RNA, 146 nt
Filed under: uncultured Helotiales
Lineage: Eukaryota; Fungi; Ascomycota; Leotiomycetes; Helotiales
Description: sequence contains ITS2
Source: RNAcentral